CACACCAGAGAGCUUGCUCUCUUUCUCUGUGCAUACCCACCAAGGGAAGACCAUGUGAGGAUUCAGAGAGAAGAUGGAUGUCUACAAGCCAGUGUCUACCAUCCAGCAGUUCCACAGCCAUUACCUGAACCAUUGGUUUACGUGGUGUGUCAACAAAUGACAGAAUAAAGAAGCAGUCAGGGUUUCUACUGCAGGUGACGUCAUCUACUCCCAGAGCAUCAACAUCAUCUUUGAGUCAAAGACUACUAAAUCUCCUGAUCCAAGUUCUCUUCUGAGUUGCAGAUCCACAGUUAUGAUUCCCUGUUGGAUAUCCUUACUGAACUGAAAGCAUUUUCGGCCAGUAAUGCCACUGUAUGAUUGUUUCUGGCUGUUGUCCAUUCUAACUGGGAUUUACGUGGACUCUUAACAAUCUUCAAACUGCAAGGGAGCAUUCCCUCAUCACUCAAGCAUCGGCAGAUUUAUGCAAAUGAGACAUUCUGCAACCACCUCAGCGGAAUGCUCCUCUUG
Long non-coding RNA from Zalophus californianus (California sea lion), 507 nucleotides. RefSeq lists it as uncharacterized. The transcript is spliced from 4 exons. The record is from RefSeq and is a predicted model, not a curated record. NCBI's taxonomy places the organism in Eukaryota, Metazoa, Chordata, Mammalia, Carnivora, Otariidae.